This 447-nucleotide long non-coding RNA is filed under the name Paramuricea clavata. The record is from RNAcentral. Lineage: Eukaryota; Metazoa; Cnidaria; Anthozoa; Malacalcyonacea; Plexauridae.
AUUCCCAACGGGGAGCGAUUAUAGAAUACCCGGCCACUUUUGAAUUUUGAUAGUGUUUGCUUUUGGGGGAUACGGGGAUACGCAGUCAUUAAAAUGACGUAAUUAUUCGAGUAGUUUAAGAGGAGAAUGGGUAACUAUUAUUUUUCAAUGAUACGGGGAUACGCAGUCAGUAAAAUGACGUAAUUAUUUGAGUAGUUUAAAAGGAGAAUGGGUAACUUAUUAUUUUUUAGUGAUACGGGGAUACGGGGAUACGCAGUCAUUAAAAUGACGUAAUUAUUCGAGUAGUUUAAGAGGAGAAUGGGUAACUAUUAUUUUUCAAUGAUACGGGGAUACGCAGUCAUUAAAAUGACGUAAUUAUUCGAGUAGUAGUUUAAAAGGAGAAUGGGUAACUAUUAUUUUUCAAUGAUACGGGGAUACGCAGUCAUUAAAAUGACGUAAUUAUUCGAG